GUUUCGCCCAUCGCUGGAGAAAACUGGAAGAGUUUUUAGAAAAUAGGUGGUGUAAGAUUAACAAAAGAAGAAAAGAAAAACACAGUAAUGACCACAUUGUUAACAGAAUUCAAAAGCAGAGUCAGAAAAAGUACCUCCGAAGCCAUAUGCCAGGCCCUCAACAAACUGUAGAUGUAACUAUGGUGACACUCAAUGAGGGAAUGAGCCCUAUGUAAGGACUUGGGGUUUCACACUGGUGCAACUGACAGAAAAAUGCAGUUGCAGUUACACUCACACAGCAUGGUGGCUUGUACCAGAACAUUUUUCUCUUCCUAGGAGAAGCAGAAUAGAGAACUGCAAGCUAAUGAAAUACUCAUCAAGCUGAGAUAACUAGGAAUAAACAACAACAACAAUAAUGGUGAUGAUGGCAGCAACAGUAAUAACAAUAACAGUGGAAUUCACAUUGAUUUUGUGUUUUAAUAUAAAUAAAACUUUCUAAACAAAAAUA
Octopus bimaculoides (California two-spot octopus) is the source of this 487-nucleotide long non-coding RNA. The record is from RefSeq and is a predicted model, not a curated record. NCBI's taxonomy places the organism in Eukaryota, Metazoa, Mollusca, Cephalopoda, Octopoda, Octopodidae.